Molecule: small nuclear RNA, 143 nt
Filed under: Echinops telfairi (small Madagascar hedgehog)
Lineage: Eukaryota; Metazoa; Chordata; Mammalia; Afrosoricida; Tenrecidae
Description: U1 spliceosomal RNA (ENSETEG00000020784.1)
Rfam family: U1 spliceosomal RNA
About the family: U1 is a small nuclear RNA (snRNA) component of the spliceosome (involved in pre-mRNA splicing). Its 5' end forms complementary base pairs with the 5' splice junction, thus defining the 5' donor site of an intron.
Source: RNAcentral
AUACUUACCUGGCAGGGGAGAUACCAUGAUCGUGAAGGUGGUUUUCCCAGGGCGAGGCUCAUCCAUUGCACUCCGGAUGUGCUGACCCCUGCGAUUUCCCCAAAUGUGGGAAACUCGACUGCAUAAUGUGUGGUAGUGGGGUA